CUAAUACCGGAUAAUAUUUCGUAACCGCAUGGUUCGAUAGUGAAAGGUGGUUUUGCUAUCACUUAUAGAUGGACCCGUGCCGUAUUAGCUAGUUGGUAAGGUAACGGCUUACCAAGGCGACGAUACGUAGCCGACCUGAGAGGGUGAUCGGCCACACUGGAACUGAGACACGGUCCAGACUCCUACGGGAGGCAGCAGUC
Molecule: ribosomal RNA, 200 nt
Filed under: uncultured Staphylococcus sp.
Lineage: Bacteria; Bacillati; Bacillota; Bacilli; Caryophanales; Staphylococcaceae
Description: partial 16S ribosomal RNA
Rfam family: Bacterial small subunit ribosomal RNA
Source: RNAcentral